AGAGUUUGAUCCUGGCUCAGAUUGAACGCUGGCGGUAUGCUUAACACAUGCAAGUCGAACGGAAACGAAACUAGCUUGCUAGUAGGCGUCGAGUGGCGGACGGGUGAGUAACGCGUAGGAAUCUGCCUGAUAGUGGGGGAUAGCCCGAAGAAAUUCGGAUUAAUACCGCAUAAUCUAUUCGUAGUAAAGUGGGGGACUUUCGAGCCUCACGCUAUCAGAUGAGCCUGCGUAAGAUUAGCUUGUUGGUAGGGUGAAAGCCUACCAAGGCAACGAUCUUUAGCUGGUCUGAGAGGAUGAUCAGCCACAUCGGGACUGAGACACGGCCCGAACUCCUACGGGAGGCAGCAGUGGGGAAUAUUGGACAAUGGGGGCAACCCUGAUCCAGCAAUACCGCGUGUGUGAAGAAGGCCUGAGGGUUGUAAAGCACUUUCAAUUGUGAAGAAAAGUUAAUGGUUAAUAACCGUUGACCUUGACGUUAACUUUAGAAGAAGCACCGGCUAACUCCGUGCCAGCAGCCGCGGUAAUACGGAGGGUGCAAGCGUUAAUCGGAAUUACUGGGCGUAAAGCGUGCGUAGGCGGUUUAUUAAGUCAGAUGUGAAAGCCCCGGGCUCAACCUGGGAACUGCAUUUGAAACUGGUCAACUAGAGUAUGGUAGAGGAAAGUGGAAUUUCUGGUGUAGCGGUGAAAUGCGUAGAUAUCAGAAGGAACAUCAAUGGCGAAGGCAGCUUUCUGGACCAAUACUGACGCUGAGGUACGAAAGCGUGGGUAGCAAACAGGAUUAGAUACCCUGGUAGUCCACGCCGUAAACGAUGAUAACUAGCCGUUGGGGGGAUUUACCCUUUAGUGGCGAAGCUAACGCGUUAAGUUAUCCGCCUGGGGAGUACGGCCGCAAGGCUAAAACUCAAAGGAAUUGACGGGGACCCGCACAAGCGGUGGAGCAUGUGGUUUAAUUCGAUGCAACGCGAAGAACCUUACCUGGUCUUGACAUCCUGCGAACUUUCUAGAAAUAGAUUGGUGCCUUCGGGAACGCAGUGACAGGUGCUGCAUGGCUGUCGUCAGCUCGUGUCGUGAGAUGUUGGGUUAAGUCCCGUAACGAGCGCAACCCCUAUCCUUAUUUGCCAGCACAUUAUGGUGGGAACUAUAAGGAGACUGCCGGUGAUAAACCGGAGGAAGGCGGGGACGACGUCAAGUCAUCAUGGCCCUUACGACCAGGGCUACACACGUGCUACAAUGGGAAGGACAAAGAGCCGCGAAGCCGCGAGGUGUAGCUAAUCUCAUAAAUCUUUUCGUAGUCCGGAUUGGAGUCUGCAACUCGACUCCAUGAAGUCGGAAUCGCUAGUAAUCGUAGAUCAGAAUGCUACGGUGAAUACGUUCCCGGGUCUUGUACACACCGCCCGUCAUACCAUGGGAGUGGGUUGCACCAGAAGUGGCUAGUCUAACUUUGUGAGGACGGUCACCACGGUGUGAUUCAUGACUGGGGUAAAGUCGUAACAAGGUAACC
This 1501-nucleotide ribosomal RNA is filed under the name uncultured bacterium. Its description in RNAcentral is "bacterial SSU rRNA". It matches the Rfam family "Bacterial small subunit ribosomal RNA". The record is from RNAcentral.